GCGCCCAUCGUCUAGCGGUUAGGACGCCGCCCUUUCACGGCGGAAACAGGGGUUCGAUUCCCCUUGGGCGUA
Non-coding RNA from Bartonella australis, 72 nucleotides. NCBI's taxonomy places the organism in Bacteria, Pseudomonadati, Pseudomonadota, Alphaproteobacteria, Hyphomicrobiales, Bartonellaceae. The record is from Rfam.